GGCUCCUAAUACAACAAGUCUUUUGGAAAACUGUUAAUACUGGCUAUCCACCUCCACUUUCCUUACCUUGCAUCAGAUCAUCAAGCUCUUCAUCCUUCAGGUGUCAGGGAUCAAGUGAGGCUUUCAGUAUUUGCCAAGAGCGAUCACCAGUAUGUUAUUAAACGCAGGACUCCAAGUUCCUGCAGCCCUCCUUUCUGAAGAAUGAUGACAUUUGUAAGGAUUCGUUUCUGAUGAGAAGACUGAGACCUGGAGUAGAGAUGAAGUAACUUAACUGUGUAAAUCAGGGGCAGGCAAGCAUCUUCUGUCAAGGAGCAGAGAGCAGUUCUCUUGGAAUUAACUGGAUUCACUCAGCAUGGUGUGAGCAUGCGUGUGUGAGUGUGUGCUGAGACAGACUUCAUGAACUCAUAGCACCCCAUGAAAGAUCACCUGUGUGAGGUCGCAGCUGCUGUGCUGGGUCCUUCCUUGGGGCCUGUGUCAAGUGCUGAGGACCCUGCUGGGAUAGGGGAGGCAGCUCCUGCUCAAUUGCUAUGGUGAUGAGUGUGACAUGUGGAAUAUAAAAGUCCCCUAAAUGUUUACAUGCUACAAUGUGGCAUUUUAAUAGGGCAUCAGAUGCAGCAUAUCCACAGAAUUAAUACGGAAUUUUCUUAUUAUCGUAAUUAUUAUUCAGAUAUUUUUGAAGAAACACAGUGAUGACCCAGGCCUGAGGACCUCAACUAGUAUUUUGUUGUUCUUACAUGUCACCAGGAGACUCACGCAAGCAAUCUCACAAAAAGCAAUUCAUGACAAUGGAAACCACCACCAGUUACUGAGAAAGGAUCUCUUGGGUUUUAAAAGAUCGUUUCAAUCUUUGAAGUAUUUCCUUUGUGAGGCCAGUUUGGUGUCCCUUGAAGGACUUUUUAUAAAACAUGAGACUCCCUCCACAUUAGGCAUCUGAAAUCCAACCUUUUUUUUUUUUUAAGUUGCAAAAGACAUUUUUUUGCAGACCAUCUGUUAUUUAGUAACGUGCAAAUUACCAAUAAAUAAUUCCAGAUUCCUUUUUUUGCAAGCAUAGCUAUAAACAAACUGAUCCACAUGCAGAAAUGGAAGUCAUUUUCUCUUUGAAAAUUCAUUAACUUCUGCACGAUUGGAAGAGAUCGGGAGAGAAGCUUCCUGGCAGAUGCUGAUGAGUGUUAUUACUGUACACAAAUAACAACAUGAGGCCAAACAUGGACAUUCUUUGGGAAUCUUCCUCUUGCUUAGCAUUCACUUGAGUGGUCUCACCAUAUGGGGUUUGUAUGUGUGACUAUAAAACCCUUUAAGAUGGAUUUAUGUGUAAUAAUCUCAUUUGUUCUUUUAGCUGGUUAAAACAUUAGCAAACUAUGAUUCUUCUCCUGUGAAACAAUAGAGAAUCACAAUAAAAAUUGCAUUUGACUUUUUUAUUCCCAAAAAGUUAUUGGGAAACCAAAUUUCAUAAGUGGUUCACCAAACGAGCCACUGCCAUUGCAUAGGCAGAGACAUUUGGAUUUGUGUCCUUGCUGGGAUGGUUUAAGGGAAGCAGAAGGAAAGUGGUAAGAAGAGUCAUCGCUGAGAAAAUUGCAGCUCUCAGUUGAUGAACUGUCUAUUUC
Callithrix jacchus (white-tufted-ear marmoset) is the source of this 1604-nucleotide long non-coding RNA. RefSeq lists it as uncharacterized. The record is from RefSeq and is a predicted model, not a curated record. Lineage: Eukaryota; Metazoa; Chordata; Mammalia; Primates; Cebidae.